RNAcentral lists this long non-coding RNA (2425 nucleotides) under Pelobates cultripes (western spadefoot toad). Lineage: Eukaryota; Metazoa; Chordata; Amphibia; Anura; Pelobatidae. The record is from RNAcentral.
AGAAAAAGAGACAAAGAAAGAUACAUAGUGUAACACUGUAUCAAAAUUUAUUGCCCAGGAUACAAAAGAAAGGGUAACCCCCCCAAACUAAAAACUCUUACACUGUAUAAAAUAUGAUACUCAUCAUUGUCGAUCAUGCAGGAAAAAAAAUUCUUUCAAAUCUGCUCGUAAUGUAGAGUCAAAGCUGGCGAUCCGGUUCCUCACGGGAGACGGCAGCUGCCUGGUGCACACAGGAACGCUGGCCGUGUUGGUAUCAGUGGGGAAACACUAGCGAUUAGUCCAGCUUCUAUCGAAAGCUCAGGUGGUCUGCUGCAGAUGAGUAGUAGUGGCACCCUAUCUAUAUUUAAAUUCUACAUGCAUAUUUAUGUAAUAUUUUUACAUAAUUUUAUUGAUUGCAAUUUGAGGGACCUGUCUGACAACCCAGGCCAAAAGUCCAAACCAUUUAAUUUGCAAGCACUGUAUUUAACUCUGUAACUUUCCAUGAUACCCUAAAACCUGUACAUGGGGGGUACUGUUUUACUCGGGAGACUUCGCUGAACACAAAUAUUAGUGUUUCAAAACAGUAAAACAUAUCAUAGUGAUGAUAUUGUCCGUGAAAGUGACGUAUUUUGCAUUUUUCACACACAAACGGCACUUUCACUGAUGAUAUAAUUGUUGUUAUACGUCUUACUGUUUUUUUUUUUUAUAAUUCUUUAUUUUUGCGUGCACGGAUACAAAGAACAGGCAUUCGCAAACAGACAUCCCCCAAUACCCCACAUUGUGAACAAAGGUUACAAUGGGCAUGCGGAAUACAUAACAUAUAGUGCACCUUUUUCUUCUCCCAGUACAUCGUUUUGUAUCGAAGUGUUUAAGUAACCAGAAGGGCCCGAUCCAUCAUCGGGUUUCAGGACUCUUGGUCAGCUUUUGGAUAGAGGACUCUUAACAAAUUAAAAUUGGCUUAGGGGGUCCGUCUGUGUAGGCCAGCCCCACCCGUUCCCUCUCAUGUUGUUCACUAGUCAUGUGACCUCGUUCCUUCUAACAUACCCUUUUAAUUAUUGAACAGGUACCUAAUGUGUCUCCGGGUAGAGCUGGUGUUGCCCAAAGGCCCAAUCCUAAUAUUCUUCGUAAUAUAUUGAUCCCAAUAAAUGGUGAUUCCCUAGGAUCCCCUAUGCAUCUCCCUGUGGUUACGUUUUCCUGUUUUUAACCCCUUAAGGACCAAACUUCUGGAAUAAAAGGGAAUCAUGACAUAUCACACGUCAUGUGUCCUUAAGGGGUUAAACACUAAUAUUUGUGUUCAACAAAGUCUCCCGAGUAUUUUAGUACCCCCCAUGUACAGGUUUUAUAGUGUUUUUGAAAGUUAAAGGGUCAAACAUAAGGCUUGAUUUUCCAUUUUUUUACAUUGAAAGUUGCCAGAAUGGUUAUGUUGCGUUUGAGAGCAUAUGGUAGCCCAGGAAUGAGAAUUACUACCGUGAUGGCAUACCAUUUGCAAAAUAAGACAACCCAUGGUUUUGCAAAUGAGGUAUGUUCAGUCAUUUUUUUUUUUUAUAAAUUCUUUAUGGUUUGUUUUUGUUUUUUUUCCAGUUUUGUUCAACAGUGUAGGAAGUUACAGAAGGCAAAGUAAAGAGGUUAAUAGGAUAGGCAGUAUUACAAUACAUGUUAACGGUGGUGUGGUACAUCUUAACAUGAGAACAUUAUUUCAAUAUUUCAUUUUCAUGUAACGUGUUUCAGAGGUUCCCUUUCACUUUCUAGUUGUAAUAUAAUUUUUUUAGUUUUCCUUCGACAGUAGGAGUUGUUAACAUUAGUGGUUGUGGGAGUUCUGACAAACUCCCCUCUCCAAGUGAGUUUGCCACGAGCUCCUGGGGGAGCCUGCUUGCCAGCCUCCUGCCCACAGACUAUGGGCCCUGCAGGGAAACCUUUUAAAGACUACCAAACUUGACCAACUGGAAAUGAUUUGGGCAUGGGGCCAUGCUUGCGGUCAGUCAAAACUAUGACUUCCAGGAAAUUCCUGAACCCCUGAACAGAUCUGGGUGAUUUUUGGAUAUGUUGUUCACCCAGAUCGGGGCUAUCAGGGGAUGUGACGGGGAUAUGGGAUAUGUUGUGUUUUGGGGUACUUAUGGGAUUUUAUAAAAAUGUGUGCCUUUUCUGCCUGUGGAUAAUUAGGUUAUUGUAUUAUCUAUCUUAAUUGUCUCACAGGCAAUGUACAACACUGUUUUUAUUGGCUUGUUGAUUUUAUGUCCUGUCCUGUGUGAAACUUGUAUAAUAGACAAUGUGCCUCCAUUAACCCCUUAAGGACUGGACUGUUUUUGCGAUGUUGUACAUUUGUGACCAGGCAUAUUUUUACACUUUUGUGGUGUUUGUGUUUGGCUGUAAUUUUCCGCUUUCUCAUUUACUGUUCCCAUACAAAUUAUAUAUUGUUUUUUUCAGGACAAAAGGGGCUUUCUUUACA